UAAUGACUCUCGGCAACGGAUAUCUCGGCUCACGCAUCGAUGAAGAACGUAGCAAAAUGCGAUACUUGGUGUGAAUUGCAGAAUCCCGUGAACCAUCGAGUUUUUGAACGCAAGUUGCGCCCGAAGCCAUCCGGCCGAGGGCACGCCUGCCUGGGCGUCACGC
This 163-nucleotide ribosomal RNA is filed under the name Sonchus asper. RNAcentral's name for it is "5.8S ribosomal RNA". It matches the Rfam family "5.8S ribosomal RNA". From Rfam's summary of the family: 5.8S ribosomal RNA (5.8S rRNA) is a component of the large subunit of the eukaryotic ribosome. It is transcribed by RNA polymerase I as part of the 45S precursor that also contains 18S and 28S rRNA. RNAcentral also lists the same sequence under 2 other names. Lineage: Eukaryota; Viridiplantae; Streptophyta; Magnoliopsida; Asterales; Asteraceae. The record is from RNAcentral.